RNAcentral lists this ribosomal RNA (403 nucleotides) under uncultured bacterium. Its description in RNAcentral is "bacterial SSU rRNA". It matches the Rfam family "Bacterial small subunit ribosomal RNA", at positions 355 to 775 of the family's 1533-position model. The record is from RNAcentral.
UAGGGAAUAUUAGUAAUGGGCGAAAGCCUGAACUAGCAACGCCGCGUGUGCGAAGAAGGCCUUCGGGUUGUAAGGCACUUUUUGAGAGGAUGAGGAAGGACGGUACUCUCAGAAUAAGUCUCGGCUAACUACGUGCCAGCAACCGCGGUAACACGUAGGAGGCGAACGUUAUCCGGAUUUACUGGGCGUAAAGCGCGUGUAGGUGGUUUGGUAAGUAGGGCGUGAAAGCUCCUGGCUCAACUGGGAGAGGCCGUUCUAAACUGCCGAACUAGAGGAUGGUAGAGGGAGGUGGAAUUCCGGGUGUAGCGGUGGAAUGCGCAGAUAUCCGGAGGAACACCAGUGGCGAAAGCGGCCUUCUGGACCAUUCCUGACACUCAGACGCGAAAGCUAGGGUAGCAAACGG